UCCUGUCAAAUGAGACAGUCAACAUACGGAGUCAUCUCCUGGGGUUCCUGCUCUUCUUCCUACUGGGGGUUAAGGACAUGUCUACGGUACUGCCAGCUUCAGGAGCCAACAAAGAAGACUACGUCAUCUCCUGCAUAGGACGUUCCUGCUUUCAGUUGUUCCUGCCUCUUGAUGGUGAUGUAUUAGAUAGCUGGAGCUGAGUUCCUCUUUUACAUCGGUCAGCUGAACUACCUGGUUGCCAGCCAGCAGGUGUGACAUGUCCAGACUUAAUGUACUUCAGGCACCACCAGCCCUGCCUCAUAGACUGGCCCAGCCAACAACCGAGCUGCCACAGACUCUACUGUAGCCACUCAAUGCAAACCAGACUACAACUGAACCUUUAACGUAACGUAACAAAAUGUGGAAAA
Molecule: long non-coding RNA, 407 nt
Organism: Oncorhynchus gorbuscha (pink salmon)
Lineage: Eukaryota; Metazoa; Chordata; Actinopteri; Salmoniformes; Salmonidae
Exons: 3
Source: RefSeq, a predicted model, not a curated record